This 258-nucleotide unclassified non-coding RNA is filed under the name Trichoderma sp. RNAcentral's name for it is "partial contains small subunit ribosomal RNA, internal transcribed spacer 1, and 5.8S ribosomal RNA". RNAcentral also lists the same sequence under 1 other name. Lineage: Eukaryota; Fungi; Ascomycota; Sordariomycetes; Hypocreales; Hypocreaceae. The record is from RNAcentral.
UCUCCGUUGGUGAACCAGCGGAGGGAUCAUUACCGAGUUUACAACUCCCAAACCCAAUGUGAACGUUACCAAACUGUUGCCUCGGCGGGAUCUCUGCCCCGGGUGCGUCGCAGCCCCGGACCAAGGCGCCCGCCGGAGGACCAACCAAAACUCUUUUGUAUACCCCCUCGCGGGUUUUUAUAUCUGAGCCAUCUCGGCGCCUCUCGUAGGCGUUUCGAAAAUGAAUCAAAACUUUCAACAACGGAUCUCUUGGUUCUG